Brienomyrus brachyistius is the source of this 5933-nucleotide long non-coding RNA. RefSeq lists it as uncharacterized. The record is from RefSeq and is a predicted model, not a curated record. The transcript is spliced from 3 exons. NCBI's taxonomy places the organism in Eukaryota, Metazoa, Chordata, Actinopteri, Osteoglossiformes, Mormyridae.
GACCCCCGAGCCCACUGCCUCAUCGCGCCAAGCAGACGUCGCCGAGAGGCGUGAUAUUAUGGAUGCCAAGUGAGUUUGGAAAUAAACAGGGGCGAUGGUGAGAUGUAGAUGUUCGCAGGAAGCUUGUAACUUAACCCCCUGCAGGACACUGUGCUAUAGGCUACUAAUGCAGCACCGCUACAUCAGAAACUGCAGAACCGCCAGGGGCCACAUCGGUGGUUUUCAUGGAGUGUAAUUAACAGGUACUGGGAAAAAAAUUAUACAGACACUUCUACAUUCAUCACGCUAUACAGAUAUAUUACAGAAGGACUGCGUGCACAGUGUGUCUGUACCAAAUAAACGCGAGCAGAAUACAAAACUUUAUAAGUAAAUGUAAUUAUUAUAUAUAUUAAGUACAGACUAACCUCUUUAACUGGCAAUAUGCACACUUAAACACAUAACAGAUUUACGCCGUCGUAUAAUUGACUGAAACCUUCACAUUUGUAGGAGGUCAUGUUCCAUGCCUGUGAUAAUCUUUUGUAGUUUUAUGUACGGAAAAACAAUGGCAAUGGAAGAAUGCCAGCUGUAUUUUUAUUUAAUUGACCUGGCUUACAGAAAGGAAAAUUCUAGUUAAAUGAGUUAUUUUUGUAAAACAGCAACAGCAGCGAGACAGAUAGUGGCCAUGAUUAAUAAACAGAAUUACUACAGUGUCCCACUAAUAAAGGCUGCCGUUCACUGACUGACUCCUAUCUAGAACCAUUACACUGCCAUCCGAUCAAAUUAAAAAGGGAAACCAACAGAGAUGAUGAUAUAAAAUGUAGUGCAUCUGUGGCUGUCUUCUAAGAUAUGGGGGGUUUGUAGAUCAUGGUCAGUGUUGGGAAAUGACGUGAGUUAUUCAGACAAGAAGAAAUAGAAGAUAAUAUGGAAGAUGCUUUCAUCCUAAAAACACCAAAGGAAAGUGGGAUUUAUUUUACCAUUCUGUAAUACCCUUUUGUUCCCCAACGUAAACAAUGUUAAUGCACCCCACAAUGGUACAAAAAUAUUCAUCAGAGUCCAUUUCUGUACCUUAAAAGGUAUAUUUAUCGAUAGCUAGGGUACAACUGGCAGCUCCUUGAGGUUACAGCCCCAGUAACAAGUAAUUGUACAUUCAAAACCACAAACUAGUACUUUUUUCUGAGUGCAUCAGAAGUGUUUCAGUACUAAGCAUACCUCUAUUUAUUAAUAAUAUAAUAAAAUAUAUAAAUACAGGAGUUUUAAAAUGCAGUGCAUUGCCACACCCGCACAACAAACCACUGUAAUCGGCGCAUGCUCCUUACCUACCUUUAAUAAAAGCACAUUACACUUCCCAAACAUCUGGAAGGGGAAAUUACAUGAUGCAAUUACAAUAUUCAAGUAAAAACUUCUUAGUAAGCUUACAGCAAACCCAUUUCAGAAAAAUGCAUAUGAAGGCCGAAAAACAUCCACUAUUAAAGGAGCUCUUCAGAAACAAGAAAAAUGGUGGAAUAUACUGAACCGAAAGCAGAGGGGCAGAGCGCCGUCAUUAAGGAAGCCAGGCGCUUAUCCAUUCUCAGCCCUUGAAUGGCUUAAUUACGACAAAGACCCACUUUUGGAGAUACCAGCCUCAGUUCUCUGCCAUGCGGGCCUCUGCUUCCAGGUCAGUUUGUCCAAAAUAGUUACUCACUUACAAACCACACGACUGUGAGAAUGAAAAAUAAGUAUAAUGUCAUUUGGUCAUCAUUACUGGUUGCACUAACUUUAGUAGUUUCUCUUUUUCUUACAACUCUCAUUAUAGCUCAUAUAAACCCCCUUGUUUUAGAAUCUCCACAAAGAAGUCAGAGAUCAUGACAAUCUGAGGCGAUUCUAGGGACUCUGGGGGCCUCCUCCAACACCCCCUCCUCCAACACCCACUCCUCCGCCAUGGUAAAAUGUGUUACCUUUACUGUACUGUGAAGUGCACAUUUAUAAUAUCAACAAAGAUAAUUUAAUAAACACAAGACCUUUAUUUUCACUUCUGUGAAAAACAGAGCAUACAAACAGAUUUGUCGUCGCGAUGUACUAUGUAAAUCAGCGGCCCUCAGGGGGCCCUCCCAGCCUGGGCCCCCAGGCCAUUGCCUGCCCUGCGUGUCCUGCCAUCGCACCUCUGAUGACAACACGCACAGAUGUAGAGCAGGUGCCUCCAUGCCUGGGUGCGGUUUCUGCCGGCCACUUCCUCGCAUCCCGGCCUUUCUGCAGAACUAUUGUGUUCGAGGCCGGCUUACUCAUAUUCCGAUUUUCCAUUGUGCAGAUCAUAAAGCUCUCAGUUUACUCCUGUUCCCGCUUCUGCCCCUUUGCAUCUGUAAUUAAAGUUCCUUUUAACCACUGCAAACCAUCUUUGCAGUUCUUUUACAAAUGUCAUAGUAGUCUCUGAUACACUCAUGGAAUUAUGAAACUUGAUGGACAUGUCUGGUGAUCCAUUAAAGAAUAAAAUUUAACAAAAAAAAUAAACCCCCCUUGCAAAAAAUGUAUGAAUGUUGCUGUCAAAUUGUAAUUUUUUAAACUUGUGUGUGUGAUGAAUAACAUGUUAAUUCCCAGUAAAAGUAAUUUGAAUCUAAUCGCGUCAACGUUCAUGAGAUGUUCCGAAUCUGUGAGACUGAAGUUCCGAGAAUCCAGUAAACGGACCAUCUUAAACUGUGAGUGCAUGGAGCAGCUUGGUGUGGCAGUGGGUAGCACUGUUGUCUCACACCUUCAAGGUUGUCGGUUCAAAUCCCACCCGUGUUUUCUGAGCGUGGAGUUUGCAUGACUCCUCAUACUAUUCCGGUUUCCUUUCACAAUCCAAAGACAUGUAUUUACUGGUUUCUCACAGCAUUGCACAUAGCGUGUGAGAGUGUCCUAACAUCCCUUAGGGCUUCUGCCCUACCCUGUGCCUUAUUCUGCUUGGGAUAAGCGCUAGAUGGCUACAACUCUCAACUGGAAAUGUCUGAGGAAGACGGAUGGAUGGAUGGAAGAGCCGAUGACUGGAAGCGCUGACUGGGGUAUUAAGAAGAGGGCGAUUCAUUCAAUUAACAAAAUCCUUAAGUAUUUCCCUAAAGUAUUAUAAAUCCUCAUCAUUCAGGAGAUGUGGGUGCGACCCAACAGGAUAUCAGCUCAUCCGCUGUGCAUUGCGAGGUUAACACCCCUUCUGCUGGCAGAGAAGAACUGGGGGACUUUCCAUGUUCCGCCUUCUCAUUUCAUUUUUAGCACUGAUUCAUAGGCAUGCUGCUUAAGGACAAGGUAAUCCCAUUAAGGCCAAGGAUGGGAAACAGCACGGCUCGAGGGCAAGGAUCUCACAGCUCCCAGAGCAACCUCGGAUUGAGCAACGUUCUGAAUGACAGAUGCUGAUUUGAGGAAGAGCUCUGAUGAAGUGCUUUCUUACCCGUGAGAUCACUGGAGUCACAUGGUGUCACGACUGUCAGGUCUUUCACCAAACUGCCUCCCGUUCUCCCCUGGGAGUCUGCUAGGAGACCCCGAGGAGAGACCCCUGACACAGCAUAAUACAGCGUGAAAUGAUCACAGGACCCUCCUGACUCACCGCUACAGGGAUGGCUGUUUUGCUACAUCAGAGAUGCACACGAUGGUGACGUCUGACAUGCUACCUUACAGAGAUGCACACGAUGGUGACGUCUGACAUGCUACCUUACAGAGAUGCACACGAUGGUGACGUCUGACAUGCUACCUUACAGAGAUGCACACGGUGGUGACGUCUGACAUGCUACCUUACAGAGAUGCACACGAUGGUGACGUCUGACAUGCUACCUUACAGAGAUGCACACGAUGGUGACGUCUGACAUGCUACCUUACAGAGAUGCAAUGGCACCACAGAUCAGCCUCAAGUGAAAUCACCUGAAAGUCGUUUUCAACUCUUUAACUUACUUCAUGGGGACUUUGGGACAGGGCAGCCCUGUACUUUAACUGAACAAUACACUGGAUUUUAAAGUCAAGUCAAUGCGGAAGAAGAAGCGGCCAAACUGAAACCGAUGAAAAUAAGCUAGUCCAGAGCAUGCUUCAAGUGAACCAAUAUGCUCCUGGAGUGCAGGGCAUGUCUCAAGUGUCGAACUAUAUAACUGUGUUUCCCUUUCAUCUCAGCCGAGAGAGACUUUGGGGAGAGAGAGUACUUUACAAGAGAAUAAGUUAUUAUAAAGCUGAGUCCAUCCAAGAGGGCGCAGGGGGUAAGUAACCAAGCCAAAACUCCUGAACAGCCUUCAAAUUUACAGCACGCACACACACACACACACACACACACACACACAUGCACACAGAAGAAUGACUUGUACCCCCGCCGUGUUCCUGCUCAUCACAAAGUGCGAGCACUUGACUGACGGCACACGUGCCACUUCGGUCCGAGUCUUAGUAGCGUCUUCGAUGGCGAGUAACUUGAGCAGCGUUCUGUCCCGUCCCGGAAUCAGUGAUCUGAUAAACGAGCUCGACUAAAGGUCACCACUAAUGGAGGCUUUAAAAGGGAUCACUGGCUUCUUUUUUAGAUAGAAAUUCACCGUCACUGAUAGAGAAUCCAUCCAUCCAUCAAUCCAUUUUCCAAACCGCUUAUCCUACUGGGUCGCGGGGGGUCCGGAGCCUAUCCCAGAAGCAAUGGGCAUGAGGCAGGGAACAACCCAGGAUGGGGGGCCAGCCCAUCGCAGGGCACACUCACACACCAUUCACUCACACAUACACACCUACAGGCAAUUAGCCCCAGCAUGUUUUUGGACUGUGGGGGGAAACCGGAGUACUCGGAGGAAACCCCACGACGACAUGGGGAGAACAUGCAAACUCCGCACACAUGUGACCCAGGCAGAGACUCGAACCCAGAUCCCAGAGGUGCGAGGCAACAGUGCUAACCACUGCACCACCAUGCCGCCCCACUGAUAGAGAAUCAAUUCCACAAAUAGAUUUGUCAUCCAAAAAAAAAUUCCCGUAUGUUAGAUCAGCUUGCAUACAAACAGAACACACUCACAUCCAUGUACAUACAUGCAUACACACCCGCAGACACACAUAUAUACAGAUUACCAGUUUUUCCCCCACUCACGACAGAAUAAAUAUCGAUAAUGAAAAAUAAUGUGACAUCAACAACAGCACACAAUGCAGCACAAAACAAUGUUGAAAGUGAAACAUGUGUUCUGAUCACAGAGAUUACGGAUUGGAAGAUUGUGAUGUCACGUCUGUAACUGGAUACUAUUGAAAUUUUCCAUAUAUGUCACAUAGUGCGACUAAUGACCCGAGUCAUAAAUUGUGUGCAUUCAGCGUCAUUGUGCGAGAUCUUUAAGCGUAUAGCCAGUUCAGUGCAGCUUUUCCACUUGCCCCCCCGAUGUGGGUCAGAUGGAAGUGGCACAGGCGGACAUCAGAGGGACGCCUCUAUUUCCCACAGGAAGGGAGCAGUCAUUUCCACAACAAAAUCAACACGAAAAGGGAAAACGGCAACUUGUUAAAUCCUGGGGUCUGUCAGAAGCUCCACUGCGGAUUCAAGUGUUUGUUCGUCAAACUCCAGCCAAACCAGAUGUGCCUGGUUUUAUUAUGGGUCUUGGCCAUCGCAUGUGCUUCACAUAGCCCGAGGCUUAUAUAAUAGGGUUUGGCUCGAAAUUAUGGAUUUGAUGACAAGCUGUUUGCUCACAGGGCCCUGUUGCAUCCUAUAAUCAUGACAAGGACUCAAGGCUGACAAACUCUGUGUAAAUGCCACAUCUAUGCACACAAAAUGGUGGGAAAGCAAAUGCUAAUCUGCCGCAUCAGUUCCCUUCAGAUGAGCUUUUGCUUGGCAUUAUGCAGCCCGAUCUUUUCCUGGUGGCGUUUUGAUGAGAGACACUGAGGGGUAAUUAUGUCAUGCCACUCUUUAGAGGUCGCACAAGUAGAUUCUGCUGGCUUCGGAUCAAACCAGAGAGAAUGUUCAUUCAUAUACACACAAACAAGAUUAAAUAAAAUGAAAUAAAAUAGGUUGAAAACCCAUCUGC